AACGAACGCUGGCGGCAUGCCUAACACAUGCAAGUCGAACGAGACCUUCGGGUCUAGUGGCGCACGGGUGCGUAACGCGUGGGAACCUGCCCUUAGGUUCGGAAUAACUCCCCGAAAGGGGUGCUAAUACCGGAUAAUGUCUUCGGACCAAAGAUUUAUCGCCUUUGGAUGGGCCCGCGUUGGAUUAGCUAGUUGGUAGGGUAAAAGCCUACCAAGGCGACGAUCCAUAGAUGGUCUGAGAGGAUGAUCAGCCACACUGGGACUGAGACACGGCCCAGACUACUACGGGAGGCAGCAGUGGGGAAUAUUGGACAAUGGGCGAAAGCAUGAUCCAGCAAUGCCGCGUGAGUGAUGUAGGCCUUAGGGUUGUAAAGCUCUUUUAGACGGGAUGAUAAUGACAGUACCGGGAGAAUAAGCACCGGCUAACUACGUG
Molecule: ribosomal RNA, 433 nt
Filed under: uncultured bacterium
Lineage: Bacteria
Description: partial 16S ribosomal RNA
Rfam family: Bacterial small subunit ribosomal RNA
Source: RNAcentral